This is a long non-coding RNA of Nicotiana attenuata, 392 nucleotides long. RefSeq lists it as uncharacterized. The transcript is spliced from 3 exons. The record is from RefSeq and is a predicted model, not a curated record. Lineage: Eukaryota; Viridiplantae; Streptophyta; Magnoliopsida; Solanales; Solanaceae.
UCGACCACCGGCGUUGACGCCUUGAUAACGUUAGAUUUACGUAGCUUCCAGCGAUAAUCGGAACUGCUCGCUGGAUAACUACAGCUGGCAAUAAGGAUUUGGAGGUAUAAAAGGUGCAAGGUACACUCGGGAAGAGACUGGAGUUUCGGUUAGCCCAUAAAUAACCCUACUUUCUGUUGCUAAACCUAAUUCACAAUGAGAAGAAGCAUAGCUCUUUGUUGGAAAGGCCUAAGAUCCUACUGUACUGACGCCGGAGAUGGCUUUCAGAGCUCCAAACUCAAAAUAUUUGAUCGCCAUCUUAAGCGCGUGCAACGUGAUAGAGCAGCGUGGUUGAUGAAGCCCAAGGAUUCUCUUGUUGAUACUGUGGCUGAGAAUCUACUGGAUCGGUUAGA